GCCCGGAUGGCGGAACUGGUAGACGCGCUUGGUUCAGGUCCAAGUGAAAGCAAUUUCAUAGGAGUUCAAGUCUCCUUUCGGGUA
This 84-nucleotide transfer RNA is filed under the name Treponema sp. RNAcentral's name for it is "tRNA-Leu". It matches the Rfam family "tRNA". Rfam says of the family: Transfer RNA (tRNA) molecules are approximately 80 nucleotides in length. Their secondary structure includes four short double-helical elements and three loops (D, anti-codon, and T loops). Lineage: Bacteria; Pseudomonadati; Spirochaetota; Spirochaetia; Treponematales; Treponemataceae. The record is from RNAcentral.